Non-coding RNA from Acanthosepion pharaonis, 112 nucleotides. The record is from the annotation of a GenBank genome assembly. Lineage: Eukaryota; Metazoa; Mollusca; Cephalopoda; Sepiida; Sepiidae.
UACGGCCACGUCAUGUUGAAACACCAGCUCUUGUACGAUCAUCGAAGUUAAGCAACGUCAAGACUUGUCAGUACCUAGAUGGGUGACCCCUUGGGAAUAUCAGGCGCUGUAA